Molecule: ribosomal RNA, 497 nt
Filed under: uncultured bacterium
Lineage: Bacteria
Description: partial 16S ribosomal RNA
Rfam family: Bacterial small subunit ribosomal RNA
Source: RNAcentral
GAUGAACGCUGGCGGCGUGCCUAAUACAUGCAAGUCGAGCGAACAGAUGAGGAGCUUGCUCCUCUGACGUUAGCGGCGGACGGGUGAGUAACACGUGGAUAACCUACCUAUAAGACUGGGAUAACUUCGGGAAACCGGAGCUAAUACCGGAUAAUAUAUUGAACCGCAUGGUUCAAUAGUGAAAGACGGUUUUGCUGUCACUUAUAGAUGGAUCCGCGCCGCAUUAGCUAGUUGGUAAGGUAACGGCUUACCAAGGCGACGAUGCGUAGCCGACCUGAGAGGGUGAUCGGCCACACUGGAACUGAGACACGGUCCAGACUCCUACGGGAGGCAGCAGUAGGGAAUCUUCCGCAAUGGGCGAAAGCUUGACAGAGCAACGCCGCGUGAGUGAUGAAGGUCUUCGGAUCGUAAAACUCUGUUAUUAGGGAAGAACAAAUGUGUAAGUAACUAUGCACGUCUUGACGGUACCUAAUCAGAAAGCCACGGCUAACUACGUG